AGGGCGUAUGGGGAAUGCCUAGGCACACUCCGGCGAAGAAGGACGCAGCAAACAGCGAAAUGCGACGGUGAGCGGUAAGCACGUGAAGAGCCGUCGAUAUCCGAAUGGGGGAACCCACACGGAGUCAUAUCCGUGUAUCACAUGUCGAAUACAUAGACAUGAUGAGGCGAGACGCAGGGAACUGAAACAUCUAAGUACCUGCAGGAAGAGAAAAUAAGAAUGAUUUUCUGAGUAGCGGCGAGCGAAAGGGAAAGAGCCCAAACCGAUCUUAGGAUCGGGGUAGUAGGAUCAUCGAUAAAUCUGACAGAGGAUCAUAGAGGAAUCACAUGGGAAGGUGAGCGAGAGAGGGUGAGAGCCCCGUACUCGAAAUGAGAGACUGGAGAGAGAUGACACCUGAGUAGGGCGGGACACGAGAAAUCCUGUCUGAAUCAGCCGGGACCAUCCGGCAAGGCUAAAUACGAGAGAGUGACCGAUAGUGAACCAGUACCGUGAGGGAAAGGUGAAAAGAACCCCGGGAGGGGAGUGAAAGAGAACCUGAAACCCUGCACUUACAAGCUGUAGGAGCACAUUAUUUGUGUGACUGCGUACUUUUUGUAGAACGGGCCAACGAGUUACGUUGUGUAGCAAGGUUAAGCACUUAAGGUGUGGAGCCGUAGCGAAAGCGAGUCUUAAAUGGGCGAUUAAGUUACUUGGCGUAGACCCGAAACCGGGCGACCUAUCCAUGAGCAGGUUGAAGCGAAAGUAAAAUUUCGUGGAGGACCGAACCCACGUACGUUGAAAAGUGCGGGGAUGACUUGUGGAUAGCGGUGAAAUUCCAAUCGAGCCUGGAGAUAGCUGGUUCUCCCCGAAAUAGCUUUAGGGCUAGCCUCAAGCUUAGAGAAACGGAGGUAGAGCACUGAAUGUCCUAGGGGGUAUUGCACUUACCGAAGACUAUCAAACUCCGAAUGCCGUAUUCUUUUGCUUGGGAGUCAGACUAUGGGUGAUAAGAUUCAUAGUCAAGAGGGCAACAGCCCAGAUCGUCAGCUAAGGUCCCUAAAUGUAAGUUAAGUGGUAAAGGAUGUGGAAUUGCACAGACAACCAGGAUGUUGGCUUAGAAGCAGCCACUCAUUUAAAGAGUGCGUAAUAGCUCACUGGUCGAGUGAUCCUGCGCCGAAAAUUUCCGGGGCUAAAACGUACUACCGAAGCUACGGCAUCAUUUAUGAUGGGUAGGGGAGCUUCGUAUGCAGGCUGAAGCAUGACCGUAAGGACAUGUGGACAGUAUACGAGUGAGAAUGUUGGCAUGAGUAGCGAGACGUGGGUGAGAAUCCCACGGGCCGUAAACCCAAGGUUUCCAGGGGAAGGUUCGUCCGCCCUGGGUUAGUCGGGACCUAAGCCGAGGCCGAAAGGCGUAGGUGAUGGACAACAGGUUGAUAUUCCUGUACCACCAAUAACCGUUUGAGAAAUGGGAUGACACAGUAGGAUAAGCUAACCGCACUGUUGGUUAUGUGCGGGCAAGUAUUGAGGCAGUUCCGAUAGGCAAAUCCGUCGGAAUAAUGCUGGGGUACGAUGCGGAGCGAAAUUUAGUAGCGAAGUAGCUGAUUUCACACUGUCGAGAAAAGUCUCUAUCGAGGUUAAAGGUGCCUGUACCGCAAACCGACACAGGUGGGUGAGGAGAGUAUCCUAAGGCCAGCGAGAGAACUGUUGUUAAGGAACUCGGCAAAAUGACCCCGUAACUUAGGGAGAAGGGGUGCCUUCGAAAGAAGGCCGCAGAGAAUAGGCCCAAGCGACUGUUUACCAAAAACAUAGGUUUCUGCUAAGUCGCAAGACGAUGUAUAGGAGCUGACGCCUGCCCGGUGCUGGAAGGUUAAGGGGAUCUGUUAGAGCAAUCGAAGCAGUGAACUUAAGCCCCAGUAAACGGCGGCCGUAACUAUAACGGUCCUAAGGUAGCGAAAUUCCUUGUCGGGUAAGUUCCGACCCGCACGAAAGGCGUAACGAUUUGGGCACUGUCUCAACAAUAGACUCGGUGAAAUUGUAAUCCCGGUGAAGAUGCCGGGUACCUGCGACAGGACGGAAAGACCCCAUGGAGCUUUACUGUAGCUUGACGUUGGGUCUUGGUACUACAUGUACAGGAUAGGUGGGAGACUAUGAAGCAUGGACGCCAGUCUGUGUGGAGUCAUCCUUGGGAUACCACCCUUGUAGUACUGGGAUCCUAACCAUAGGCCUUGAAUCAGGUCUUGGAACACCGUCAGGUGGGCAGUUUGACUGGGGCGGUCGCCUCCUAAAAAGUAACGGAGGCGCUCAAAGGUUUCCUCAGCACGGUCGGAAAUCGUGCGAAGAGUGUAAAGGCAAAAGGAAGCUUGAUUGCAAGACAUACAGGUCGAGCAAGGACGAAAGUCGGACUUAGUGAUCCGGUGGUACCGCAUGGAAGGGCCAUCGCUCAACGGAUAAAAGCUACCCUGGGGAUAACAGGCUUAUCUCCCCCAAGAGUCCACAUCGACGGGGAGGUUUGGCACCUCGAUGUCGGCUCA
This 2507-nucleotide ribosomal RNA is filed under the name human gut metagenome. RNAcentral's name for it is "bacterial LSU rRNA". It matches the Rfam family "Bacterial large subunit ribosomal RNA", at positions 14 to 2539 of the family's 2925-position model. The record is from RNAcentral.